GGCGUGCCUAACACAUGCAAGUCGAGCGGUAUAUACUUAAACAAAUCUUCGGAAGAGUGAGAGUAUAGAGAGCGGCGGACGGGUGAGUAACGCGUAGGCAACCUGCCCCAUACAGAGGGAUAGCCUCGGGAAACCGGGAUUAAAACCUCAUAACGCGAAAGAGUCACAUGGCUUUUUCGCCAAAGAUUUAUCGGUAUGGGAUGGGCCUGCGUCUGAUUAGCUAGUUGGUGGGGUAACGGCUCACCAAGGCAACGAUCAGUAGCCGACCUGAGAGGGUAAUCGGCCACAUUGGAACUGAGACACGGUCCAAACUCCUACGGGAGGCAGCAGUGGGGAAUAUUGCACAAUGGGCGAAAGCCUGAUGCAGCAACGCCGCGUGAGCGAUGAAGGCCUUUGGGUCGUAAAGCUCUGUCCUAGGGGAAGAAUAAAUGACGGUACCCUUGGAGGAAGCCCCGGCUAACUACGUGCCAGCAGCCGCGGUAAUACGUAGGGGGCAAGCGUUAUCCGGAAUUAUUGGGCGUAAAGAGUGCGUAGGUGGUUUUGUAAGCGCGGGGUGAAAGGCAAUAGCUCAACUAUUGUAAGCCCUGCGAACUGUGAGACUUGAGUGCAGGAGAGGAAAGCGGAAUUCCUAGUGUAGCGGUGAAAUGCGUAGAUAUUAGGAGGAACACCAGUGGCGAAGGCGGCUUUCUGGACUGUAACUGACACUGAGGCACGAAAGCGUGGGGAGCAAACAGGAUUAGAUACCCUGGUAGUCCACGCCGUAAACGAUGAGCACUAGGUGUCGGGGCCGCAAGGUUUCGGUGCCGCAGUUAACGCAUUAAGUGCUCCGCCUGGGGAGUACGCACGCAAGUGUGAAACUCAAAGGAAUUGACGGGGACCCGCACAAGCAGCGGAGCAUGUGGUUUAAUUCGAAGCAACGCGAAGAACCUUACCAGGGCUUGNCNUCCCUCUGACCGGCGCGUAACGGUGCCUUUCCUUCGGGACAGAGGAGACAGGUGGUGCAUGGUUGUCGUCAGCUCGUGUCGUGAGAUGUUGGGUUAAGUCCCGCAACGAGCGCAACCCUUGUCAUUAGUUGCCAGCAGUUCGGCUGGGCACUCUAGUGAGACUGCCGGGGAUAACUCGGAGGAAGGUGGGGAUGACGUCAAAUCAUCAUGCCCCUUAUGUUCUGGGCUACACACGUGCUACAAUGGCUGGUACAAAGAGAAGCGAGACGGUGACGUGGAGCAAAUCUCAAAAACCAGUCCCAGUUCGGAUUG
RNAcentral lists this ribosomal RNA (1256 nucleotides) under Clostridium sp. PPf35E6. Its description in RNAcentral is "bacterial SSU rRNA". It matches the Rfam family "Bacterial small subunit ribosomal RNA", at positions 41 to 1300 of the family's 1533-position model. Lineage: Bacteria; Bacillati; Bacillota; Clostridia; Eubacteriales; Clostridiaceae. The record is from RNAcentral.